UAUGUGCUUAACAUUUUGAAAAAUGUGAACAGCAAAAACAGUUCAUCAGAAUUUCAAACGUCAAAAGUACUUAUUUCUGGAAAUCAGUUAAUCUGCAUCCUGAUUUUCUGCUGUUUCAUCAGUCACUAUGCAGUGUGUUUGGACAACGGAAGCAUUCUUGAAUAAGACUGCCUCAGUUUAUAUCGAAGAUGUAUUGCUUGUCAUGCCUGGUGACCAACUUUACAGGACUAUGUUCAAAUUUAGAUUACAUACCUAGUAUGAAAGAGAUCAAGUAUAUUACCGAAAUUGGCUAUCUCAGUUCGCGAAUUCCGAACUCAUCCUCAGUCUGUCAUUCUGAUGCAGGGGUCCUGAAAGAAGUUGGAACGUUUUGAACCGUCUCAGCCAAUAAGUAUUAGAAAAUGGUAGGCGCUUAAUGAUGAGUUUCUUCGCUGCCCGUCAACUUACCAUCCAAGCAAGCACUGUCUGUCAAACCAUUAGCCGAAUGUAAUUAAUUCCAGUAGUUCACCAAAACAAGAGGUUAAGAAUCGUACUGAAUCAAAAGAGGUAUCUAGUCGAACCAAAUUUCAUAAUGAUAACGGUUGGAAGCCCGAAGAAAUUUUUGAAAAAUGCCUCCUGCCCAUUACCUUCAGUCGUUGCUGCUGCCUGAAAACAAAGUAUUAAAAUUUAUAUAAAUUGAAGUGCAUAUCUGGGCUCCCUUCUUUUCUGUGGCCCCGUUUCCCUUAAAUUUUUAAUAAGCCCGUAGGGGGUCAUGCCCCUACUGUGAUCAGCAGUAAACGGUUGUGAGUGCGCUGUCCGGAAAGGGGACGUGGGGGUCCCCAUGGUUCGAUGAUAUCAUUGGAGGGCUGUGGGGCUGCCCAAAAAUCCGAAUUAACGGUUAAUCGCUCACGUAAAAGCUUGUCCGCGACCUUCGCUCUUCUUCCGGCUUCUCUUAGCCACGCACCGGGUAAUCUCCCCGGUGAGUCAACUGAGGUAGUGUCUCCCCCUACCUUGGUUGACAGCAACUUUGAAAUCGGCUAUUUUGCCCUUUCAAAGUUGCAAGUCUUUAAA
Daphnia carinata is the source of this 1047-nucleotide long non-coding RNA. RefSeq lists it as uncharacterized. The transcript has 4 exons. The record is from RefSeq and is a predicted model, not a curated record. NCBI's taxonomy places the organism in Eukaryota, Metazoa, Arthropoda, Branchiopoda, Diplostraca, Daphniidae.